Long non-coding RNA from Panicum virgatum (switchgrass), 1167 nucleotides. RefSeq lists it as uncharacterized. The record is from RefSeq and is a predicted model, not a curated record. Lineage: Eukaryota; Viridiplantae; Streptophyta; Magnoliopsida; Poales; Poaceae. The transcript has 2 exons.
CACGCUCUCCAUCUUAUCUCCUUCGAGCCGCACAUCCUUUCCUCUUCACCUUAUCCUCUAUCUCAUGGUCUCACUUUCUCGCUCAUCUCUUUCCAGGGCCUGGCAUGGCAAGGGCACCGGGGUGGUCGCGGCCAUGGCCGGCCUAGCGCUAUCGAGGUGGGCGCGGCCCUAGCCAGCCCCCAUGGCGCAAGCCACGGCUUGGUGAAAGCAUCUAGAUCCUUAAUUCGUGUUUUGGUAAUUAAUGACAACAUUUAUGGACUAACAAAUUUCUUGAGAAGAAAAUGAGUAUAGGUUGGUCCAUGGAUAAAUGAGGAUUUAUUGAUGCCGCAAAGUGUUGUUGAGAUGAAGUUCAAGGCAUGAGCUCAAGGCAAAGAUCCUACACUCGGGAGGCAAGCGCCCACUUGGGGGACCUCGAGGUGCAGCUCCACAGAACCGAGGUGCGACUGCUCCUGCUGUUGUGGAUACCGAAGCUGGGGAAGGGCAGCAGUGCAUAGAGUUUGCUAGUGAUUUAUCUCCAAGUUCAAGGCACAUGUGGUCAUGGCAAAAUUUCCAUCUUAUCUCUUCUCCCUUCCAUUAUAAUUUCUCUUACUUAUCUCAUCUCUCUAUCUUACACCGCAGCUCUCUCUAACAAGGAGAUUAUAGUUUGACGCGGGCAGCAGGGCCAGGGUUGCUAGCAUAUGGCUCGGUGGCUAGCGCACGGGACAGGCGGCUGCACGCGUCGAGGCGGUGAGGUCCUGUGCGGCGCCAUCCUCCCUCCCUGCAUGACACGGCAGCCGGCCAGUCGUGGGCGAGGAGCUGCAAUGCCGUCCUUUCUCCCUGCACGACGGGGAGGCCCUCAUGGACCCGCUGCCAUGCCAGGAGCAAAGCUGAGCUGUGACGGAGGCAUGGCCGUUCGGAGCCGUGACAAUGGUGCGGCACGCGGCGCGUCUCGGUGGGAGCGGAGUGGAGCUGUGAUGGGAGCGGAGCGGAGUGGCGAUAGUGGUGCAUGACACGAUGCGGCAUGCGCGGCCACGCGGUGUUGUGAUGGCAGUGCUGCGCACUGGCUUACAGCGGCUCCGGCAGCUGCUGUGGUGUAUUUUUUUGUUUUUUUAUUCGAUCUGUAGGGAUGGGUGACCCCAUGACCCGUCCAUAAAAAUCUAUUUCUAGGGAUGGGUUAUAUCCUUUGUA